Molecule: non-coding RNA, 21 nt
Filed under: Caenorhabditis elegans
Lineage: Eukaryota; Metazoa; Nematoda; Chromadorea; Rhabditida; Rhabditidae
Source: RNAcentral
UGGACGCUUUCGGAUGGAUGC